This 67-nucleotide transfer RNA is filed under the name Pseudorhabdosynochus yangjiangensis. RNAcentral's name for it is "tRNA-Asn". Lineage: Eukaryota; Metazoa; Platyhelminthes; Monogenea; Dactylogyridea; Diplectanidae. The record is from RNAcentral.
GUUUUCAUAGAUUAAUUAUAAAAUCAUAAAGCUGUUAACUUUAAGAUGCUUAAAAAAGCUGUAAACG